Molecule: long non-coding RNA, 353 nt
Filed under: Durio zibethinus
Lineage: Eukaryota; Viridiplantae; Streptophyta; Magnoliopsida; Malvales; Malvaceae
Description: long non-coding RNA (DZIB_LNC002186)
Source: RNAcentral
GAAGUUGUUGAUGAGGUCAAGGAAGCCUUAGAGAAGGCCUGUCCUGGAAUAGUCUCUUGUGCAGAUAUCAUAAUCAUGGCCGCAAGAGAUGCCGUUGCUCUGGUAACUAUCGUUAGCUUUGUCCUGUUUGAGCUAACUUUGUUAAAAAAGUUUCAAAGUGAGGCCGUACUUUGCGAUUAAGAGAGUUUCCAUUUUGUGUAAUAUACCAAAAAGUGAUGUGAUUCUUACUGUGUUUAUAAUCCAGACUGGAGGACCCGAUUGGGUAGUGAGGCUGGGAAGAAAAGAUAGCUUAACAGCCAGUCAAGAAGACUCAAACAAUAUAAUGCCAAGCCCAAGAGCAAAUGCAAGUUUUC